AUCCGACCCGUCACGGGAUUCAGGUUCUUUUCCUCACGAGUCCACGAACAUCCUCGUCCUCGACUCUUGCUUCGCAACACCGGUCCGGCGGGUUCUUCGACAAUGGACAACGAAUCGGAGCCUCGUCGGAACCUCCCUCUGUUCCUGGAAUCCGGUGUUUACCGAUUCGAGGAUUCCAACGCAGUCUUCGUGGACCCCGUUCGCGCUCUGAACCGCUCUCUUACACGGUUCAGCAUCUCUCCUUCCGCGUACUACUCUCGUUUCUUCGAGUCCAAUCCUUGCGACGUCGCUAAUGGCGGUCCGAAUGGGAGGAAGCGGAAGCGCAGGGCGAAGAAGCCUGUCGUCCUCAACGACCGCGAACGAGUCGCCGCUCAGCGUCACCAGGAUGCGAGGCCAUAUUUGGUCAAGGCGCAUGAAUCUUUACUUGGAGCUACUGAGCUAAGGUCUUUCAUGUUGAAGAUGAGGGGGGAACUCGCCAUCACAGAAGACCGAAAAUCGUUGCCGCCUGGUGUUCCGCCAUCAUUUAUUGAACUCGGGAGGCUCUGGCAAGCUCCUUUGUAUGAGAUGACGCUCAACUUCUUGCAAGAAAAGCUGACCGGAGAUGGAGGUCCCUUGAUCAUUCACAGCAAAGAGCAAAAAGUGCUUCCUAUAUUCGAUAACUUAGUUCAUAACGAAACAAAGGAUGAUUCAGUGGCUGAGUUCCUUGGCAGUCAAUAUGUCAUUCCAAGAGAAAGUUGCUUCUACAUGUCCGACCUGCAGCAGAUUCGCAAAAUGAUUCCAGUUGAGUGUGAUGCUCGUUUCCAUCUUAUAGUGAUAGAUCCACCAUGGGAAAAUGGUAGUGCCCAGCAGAAGUUGAGAUAUCCAACUUUGCCUAAUAAAUAUAUGUUAGCCCUACCUGUUCAGCAACUUGCUCAUAGAGAAGGAGCCCUUGUUGCCUUGUGGGUGACUAACAGGGAGAAGCUCCGUAAUUUCAUUGAGAAAGAGCUAUUUCCUGCAUGGGGAGUCAAAUUUUUAGCAACUUUUUACUGGUUAAAGGUGAAAUCUGAUGGAUCUUUGAUUUGUGACUUGGACCUAUUCCAUCACAGGCCAUAUGAAUGCAUUCUCUUGGGCUUCUGCGACAAGGAGGACAUGGAACCUAGAGAUCUGGCAAGAUUAAGUAAUAUUCAAGAUAAAAGAGUAUUGAUUAGUGUGCCUGGGGAGUACUCAAGGAAGCCCCCACUAGAAGAGCUAGUUCUCGAGUACAUUCCAGGGACCAAGCCAGCGCGAUGUGUUGAAUUAUUUGCUAGAGACAUGAGGGCUGGAUGGUUUUCUUGGGGGAAUGAGCCACUGCACUUUCAAGAGCUGAGAUAUUUUCAGAAGAGAGAUGCAGAUGAUGUCUGAUGUGGGCUUUAUUCGCAACGUUUAGCAACCAUGGGGAAAAGAUCAUCUCUCUUGGUUGCUGUAAGUUCUCUCAGUGAAACAGAACUUAAAGGAGUUGGAUGGACCAGAGAGAUGAAAAGAAGCUGGAGGAGUUAGUACGCUGGGGCUGCUACCCGUCAACCGAUCCUGUGUUGCCUGAGCACACAUAGGUCAACAGAUCGAUAAAUUAUGGGAAUAUGCGCAAGGGGUUUCUGCACACUAGAUAUUUUGGUUCAGUCGCAUUAUCAACCCAUCUGGAGCCGAGGUCGUUUCGACAAACGGCUACCAAGCAGCUCAAUGGUGAGCGUUCUAUUAAAGCCUGAUUUUGUAAUCACGACUGUUAAAAGCAACAAAAUUUUGUAGCUCAAGUAGAUUCGCGCUGCUGGAUGAACGUUUCGUUUAGUUGAAUUCGGCGCAUCGACUUGGAUUAGUGCUCGUCAGUGAAGUAGAGGCUGUUCUUCUAGCUUUUAUGUUAGCAGAGGAGCGCCGGCUUCGUAACAUGGUGUUUGACGGCGACUGUACAGUGUUCAUGAGCGCUGUUAUACAUUACUCUUGGGUCAGGCAAAAAGAUGCAUUUGAGUUUCUUGUCAAACAAGGAGCUCAUCUUACUCUAAAAUAGUAUAGAACAAACUUUAAGGUUACUUCAAGUGGUGUCAUAUCGUUCCUAUGAUUUUUGAAAAUUUGAGGA
Rhodamnia argentea is the source of this 2086-nucleotide RNA transcript. It is a transcript of the gene named methyltransferase-like protein 2, with no coding region annotated. NCBI's taxonomy places the organism in Eukaryota, Viridiplantae, Streptophyta, Magnoliopsida, Myrtales, Myrtaceae. The transcript is spliced from 10 exons. The record is from RefSeq and is a predicted model, not a curated record.